UACGUAGGUGACCAGCGUUGUCCGGAUUUACUGGGCGUAAAGAGCGCGCAGGCGGUCGUUCAAGUCGAGUGUGAAAGCCCCCGGCUCAACUGGGGAGGGUCACUCGAUACUGAUCGACUUGAAGGCAGGAGAGGGAAGCGGAAUUCCCGGUGUAGUGGUGAAAUGCGUAGAUAUCGGGAGGAACACCAGUGGCGAAGGCGGCUUCCUGGACCAAUACUGACACUGAGGAGCGAAAGCCAGGGGAGCAAACAGG
Molecule: ribosomal RNA, 253 nt
Filed under: uncultured bacterium
Lineage: Bacteria
Description: partial 16S ribosomal RNA
Rfam family: Bacterial small subunit ribosomal RNA
Source: RNAcentral